Molecule: non-coding RNA, 148 nt
Filed under: Gorilla gorilla gorilla (western lowland gorilla)
Lineage: Eukaryota; Metazoa; Chordata; Mammalia; Primates; Hominidae
Source: Rfam by way of RNAcentral
GCUGGGCGUGGUGGCGGGUGCCUGUAAUCCCAGCUACUUGGGAGGCUGAGUCAGGAGAAUUGCUUGAACCCAGGAGGCCGAGGUUGCAGUGAGCAGAGAUCACACCACUGCACUCCAGCCUGGGCAACAGAGUGAGACUCCGUCUCAG